GAGGGUAUAGCUCAGUGGUAGGGCACAUGCUUAGCAUGCACAAGGUCCAGGAUUCAAUCCCCAGUACCUCCA
This 72-nucleotide transfer RNA is filed under the name Camelus bactrianus (Bactrian camel). It matches the Rfam family "tRNA". Rfam says of the family: Transfer RNA (tRNA) molecules are approximately 80 nucleotides in length. The record is from Rfam by way of RNAcentral. RNAcentral also lists the same sequence under 2 other names. Lineage: Eukaryota; Metazoa; Chordata; Mammalia; Artiodactyla; Camelidae.